RNAcentral lists this unclassified non-coding RNA (520 nucleotides) under uncultured Entrophospora. RNAcentral's name for it is "SSU rRNA". It matches the Rfam family "Eukaryotic small subunit ribosomal RNA", at positions 569 to 1082 of the family's 1831-position model. Lineage: Eukaryota; Fungi; Glomeromycota; Glomeromycetes; Entrophosporales; Entrophosporaceae. The record is from RNAcentral.
AGCAGCCGCGGUAAUUCCAGCUCCAAUAGCGUAUAUUAAAGUUGUUGCAGUUAAAAGCUCGUAGUUGAAUUUCGGGAUUGGCGCAUCGGUCGUGCCUCACGGGGUAUGAACUGGUGCAGUCAAUUUCUCACCUUCUGGAGAACCGCGAUGUCCUUAAUUGGAUGCCGCGGGGAACCAGGACCUUUACUUUGAAAAAACUUAGAGUGUUUAAAGCAGGCAUUUUUGCUUGAAUACAUUAGCAUGGAAUAAUAAAAUAGGACGGCAUGGUUCUAUUUUGUCGGUUUCUAGGACCACCGUAAUGAUUAAUAGGGAUAGUUGGGGGCAUUAGUAUUCAAUUGUCAGAGGUGAAAUUCUUGGAUUUAUUGAAGACUAACUACUGCGAAAGCAUUUGCCAAGGAUGUUUUCAUUAAUUAAGAACGAAAGUUAGGGGAUCGAAGACGAUCAGAUACCGUCGUAGUCUUAACCAUAAACUAUGCCGACUAGGAAUCAGACGAUGUUAAUUUUUUCAAUGACUCGUUUG